Molecule: long non-coding RNA, 307 nt
Filed under: Homo sapiens (human)
Lineage: Eukaryota; Metazoa; Chordata; Mammalia; Primates; Hominidae
Description: HSALNT0170963
Source: RNAcentral
CUCAUUCACUCAGUCACUCACUUAUUCACUCACAUUCAUUCACUCACAUUCACUCACUCACAUGCACUCACUCACACAUUCACUUAUUCAUUCACUCACUCAUGCACUCACUUAUUCACUCACCCAUUUAUUCACUCAUUCAUUCUCUCACUCUCAUUCACUCACUCUCUGUGUUCUGAACAGAUGCAUCCUGGACUCUAGACUGCAGCCAAGCCCUCAAAGACCUCUGCAGGGUGGUGGUCUCUUCUUGGGGCAGAUCCAAGCUCUGGCCUCUCCUCUCUGAGCAGAGAGACACUGUCCCAGCCAG